This 254-nucleotide ribosomal RNA is filed under the name uncultured bacterium. Its description in RNAcentral is "partial 16S ribosomal RNA". It matches the Rfam family "Archaeal small subunit ribosomal RNA", at positions 474 to 727 of the family's 1478-position model. The record is from RNAcentral.
CCCCAGCGCCACAAGUCGGAAUCACAUUUAUUGGGCCUAAAGCGUUCGUAGCCUGCCAGGCAAAUCUCUUGUGAAAUCGUUAAGCUCAACUUAACGACGUGCAGGAGACACUCCCUGGCUAGGGACUGGGAGGGGCUAGAGGUAUUCGUAGGGGAGCAGUAAAAUGCUAUAAUCCUAUGCAGACUACCUGUGGCGAAGGCGUCUAGCCAGAACAGAUCCGACGGUGAGGAACGAAAGCUAGGGGAGCAAUCCGG